Long non-coding RNA from Symsagittifera roscoffensis, 932 nucleotides. RefSeq lists it as uncharacterized. The transcript has 3 exons. The record is from RefSeq and is a predicted model, not a curated record. Lineage: Eukaryota; Metazoa; Xenacoelomorpha; Acoela; Convolutidae.
UGUGUCUUUCAGGUUUCGAUGAGCCAGUCGGAUAAUGACUUGGCCACACAAAUAAUAGAUUGUUGUGUUGCUAGGAAAGUGAAAGUGUUUGCUUUUGACUUCGAUCUCACCAUCGUCGGCAUACACACUCAGGGCGCAUGGAUGGGAUCUGCAGAGAACCUGGUGCCAUACAUUCAGCCAUGGGCUAGAGCUCUGAUUCAAAAUGUCCUUAAACGCAGUGAUGUUUGCAUGGCCGUCGUUACAUUUUCAUCACAACCUCUUCUAAUCAGAAACGUUUUGAAGAAAGCUUUUCCAAAUUUCACGGCGAAACUCAACAAGAUCGCUAUUUGCGCUAAUACAGGGCUACAAUGCGUACCUUAUUUCACUAUGAAUCAAGCCACUAUGGGCAAAAAUUGUCAUCUUAGUCUAGCUAUGGACCAUAUUGUUGCAACCGAAGGAUUUUCGGUAACGAACCCAAACGUCUUUUUACUGGAUGAUGACCCAAACAACGUUAAGGGUGCUAUAGUGCAAGGCUACAAAGGAUGUGUCGUGACGGAAAAUUUCACUCUCCAGAAAUUGCUAGAUCACGCUAUGAAGAUUCCACUGACGACUAAGCCAAAAUAGAACUUAUUUACGAGUAGACGUAAUAUAUGUCAUCUUUAUAACCAGCGCCUCGUCAAGUUAAACCCUUCAACUAAAAACUUGUCACCAUUUAUAUCAGCUCCGCAAUUUAACAAACUUCCAAUUUAACUAACUCCUGUGUAUCUCAAAGGUUCAGGUUAAUUGUUACAAAAUAGCUUGAGGCGCAGGUUAUGAACAGCCUUCAUAUCAUACUUCAAAUGUUAGAUAGAUAGUUCACUUUCGGUAUCACCUUACUUAUAUUUUUGUCAGAUUUACUGUUUGUAUAUUUUUGAAAUGGAUUUAUAAAUUCUAAUAUAUUGUUGUCAUUUGAA